ACGGCCCACCAAGGCGACGAUCGGUAGCCGGACUGAGAGGUCGAACGGCCACAUUGGGACUGAGACACGGCCCAGACUCCUACGGGAGGCAGCAGUGGGGGAUAUUGCACAAUGGGGGAAACCCUGAUGCAGCAACGCCGCGUGAGGGAAGACGGUUUUCGGAUUGUAAACCUCUGUCAUCGGUGACGAUAAUGACGGUAGCCGAUGAGGAAGCUCCGGCUAACUAC
Molecule: ribosomal RNA, 227 nt
Filed under: uncultured bacterium
Lineage: Bacteria
Description: partial 16S ribosomal RNA
Rfam family: Bacterial small subunit ribosomal RNA
Source: RNAcentral